This 624-nucleotide ribosomal RNA is filed under the name Triticum aestivum (bread wheat). RNAcentral's name for it is "partial small subunit ribosomal RNA". Lineage: Eukaryota; Viridiplantae; Streptophyta; Magnoliopsida; Poales; Poaceae. The record is from RNAcentral.
AUGUCCCGUAAUUUGUUCAAACGCAUAGCCGAUGGUAUACUUGAGCAUGAUUAUGAUGGUUAUUUUACUCAAAAAAGAAGUGCUUCUGGAGCUCUUGGGUUACAUCCUCUGCAAAAGAUGACCGCGGCAAUGCGGAUGCUAACAUAUGGAAUAGCAGCUGAUGGUGCUGAUGAGUACAUCCGGUCCGCUGAGGCUACUAAUUUAGAGUCUUGCAAGAAAUUUGUGAUCAAAGUUUGUGAAGUUUUUGGGGAAAGGUACCUGAGAUCUCCAAAUGAAGAAGACAUUGCUAGGUUACUUGCAAUAGGGGAGGAAAGAGGAUUUCCUGAUGGUAUCUAUCCACGGUGGGCAACAUUUGUGAAGAGCAUACCAGCUCCAGAUACCAGAAAACAUAAAACUUUUGCCAAGAGGCAAGAGGGGGCUAGGAAAGAUGUGGAACGAGCCUUUGGAGUUCUUCAAUCCCGUUUUGCCAUUGUUCGUGGACCUGCUAAAGGAUGGAAACGUAAAGAAAUCGGUGAUGUCAUGAAAGCUUGUGUCAUAAUGCACAAUAUGAUAGUUGAAGAGGAGCGACAAACUGGUCGGCAAAGCUGCACUUUUGAGGCAAUGGGAGAAAGAGUCACGGUCUCU